GGCUGCGUGGCGAGCACAGAGCGAACGAUUCUUUCGCCUUUUACUAAAGAAUACCGUGCGCUCGUCACAUUAAGCAGCAUAUAUUAAUUUUUUGAGGGUGCCUUCCUAAUAAGGUAG
Molecule: small nuclear RNA, 117 nt
Organism: Phragmites australis (common reed)
Lineage: Eukaryota; Viridiplantae; Streptophyta; Magnoliopsida; Poales; Poaceae
Product: U5 spliceosomal RNA
Exons: 1
Source: RefSeq, a predicted model, not a curated record